This 855-nucleotide ribosomal RNA is filed under the name Hermatomyces hainanensis. RNAcentral's name for it is "Hermatomyces sp. NGL-2023a partial large subunit ribosomal RNA". It matches the Rfam family "Eukaryotic large subunit ribosomal RNA", at positions 53 to 929 of the family's 3401-position model. Lineage: Eukaryota; Fungi; Ascomycota; Dothideomycetes; Pleosporales; Hermatomycetaceae. The record is from RNAcentral.
GAGGAAAGAACCAACAGGGAUUGCCCUAGUACGGCGAGUGAAGCGGCAAGAGCUCAAAUUUGAAAUCUGGCUCCUUUGGAGUCCGAGUUGUAAUUUGUAGAGGGUGCUUUGGUGUCGGCCAUGGCCUAAGUUCCUUGGAACAGGACGUCACAGAGGGUGAGAACCCCGUACGUGGCUGCUAGCCUUCACCGUGUAAAGCCCCUUCGACGAGUCGAGUUGUUUGGGAAUGCAGCUCUAAAUGGGAGGUAAAUUUCUUCUAAAGCUAAAUAUUGGCCAGAGACCGAUAGCGCACAAGUAGAGUGAUCGAAAGAUGAAAAGCACUUUGGAAAGAGAGUCAAAAAGCACGUGAAAUUGUUGAAAGGGAAGCGCUUGCAGCCAGACUUGCCCGUAGUCGCUCAUCCGAGCUCUUGCUCGGUGCACUCUUCUGCGGGUAGGCCAGCAUCAGUCCGGGCGGUCGGAUAAAGGCUUUGGGAAUGUAGCUCUCUUCGGGGAGUGUUAUAGCCCAGGGUGUCAUGCGACCAGUCUGGACUGAGGUCCGCGCAUCUGCUAGGAUGCUGGCGUAAUGGCUGUAAGCGGCCCGUCUUGAAACACGGACCAAGGAGUCUAACAUCUAUGCGAGUGUUUGGGUGUCAAGCCCGGGCGCGUAAUGAAAGUGAACGGAGGUGGGAACCCUUCGGGGCGCACCAUCGACCGAUCCUGAUGUCUUCGGAUGGAUUUGAGUAAGAGCAUAGCUGUUGGGACCCGAAAGAUGGUGAACUAUGCCUGAAUAGGGUGAAGCCAGAGGAAACUCUGGUGGAGGCUCGCAGCGGUUCUGACGUGCAAAUCGAUCGUCAAAUUUGGGCAUAGGGGCGAAGA